CCUACGGGCGGCAGCAGUGGGGAAUUUUGGACAAUGGGCGCAAGCCUGAUGCAGCUAUUCCGCGUGUGGGAUGACGGCCCUCGGGUUGUAAACCACUUUAGUAGAGAACGAAAAGGAGCUAUCGAAUAAAUAGCUCUGCUGACGGUACUCUAAGAAUAAGCACCGGCUAACUACGUGCCAGCAGCCGCGGUAAUACGUAGGGUGCGAGCGUUAAUCGGAAUUACUGGGCGUAAAGGGUGUGCAGGCGGCUGAGUAAGACAGAUGUGAAAUCCCCGGGCUUAACCUGGGAACCGCAUAUGUGACUGGUUGGCUAGAGUGCGUCAGAGGGGGGUAGAAUUCCACGUGUAGCAGUGAAAUGCGUAGAUAUGUGGAAGAACACCGAUGGCGAAGGCAGCCUCCUGGGA
Molecule: ribosomal RNA, 404 nt
Filed under: uncultured bacterium
Lineage: Bacteria
Description: partial 16S ribosomal RNA
Rfam family: Bacterial small subunit ribosomal RNA
Source: RNAcentral